Molecule: microRNA precursor, 84 nt
Filed under: Python bivittatus (Burmese python)
Lineage: Eukaryota; Metazoa; Chordata; Lepidosauria; Squamata; Pythonidae
Description: microRNA pbv-mir-155a precursor
Gene: pbv-mir-155a
Rfam family: mir-155 microRNA precursor family (bases 12-75)
Source: miRBase by way of RNAcentral
CAGGCCAUACACUGUUAAUGCUAAUUGUGAUAGGUGUUUUAUCUCUGAUCAACUCCUACAUGUUAGCAUUAAUAGGGUGUGGUG